RNAcentral lists this transfer RNA (74 nucleotides) under Myotis davidii. It matches the Rfam family "tRNA". From Rfam's summary of the family: Transfer RNA (tRNA) molecules are approximately 80 nucleotides in length. Their secondary structure includes four short double-helical elements and three loops (D, anti-codon, and T loops). Lineage: Eukaryota; Metazoa; Chordata; Mammalia; Chiroptera; Vespertilionidae. The record is from Rfam by way of RNAcentral.
GCCAGUGUGGCUUAGUGGUUAAAAGCAUCAGCCUGUGCACUGCAGGGCCACAGGUUUGAUUCCGGUCAAGGGUA